ACACAGUGUGAAUGAGUCAAGGAUGGAUUGGAGAGCUCCCUGGGAAAUAUGGAUUUCAUUUUUUCCAGGAACACAAGCAUGCAGGAAGGUCUACCAGAGAGAGUAAAGUAGGACCCCAGUUUGUUUUUAUUGUUUGCAACUGCCAGGUGCUGAAGUGGGGGCAGAGCAAGACCAGGAAGAAAUCUGCUGCUGUAAAAGGUUGUACAGAUAGCAGAAAAAAAUGUGAACGAGACCCAGAUUCCAGAACUGCCUAUAAAAUUGUAAGAAAUCUCUCUCUUGUGAAAUUUUUCAUACAAGAAUGUGAGCUCAGAGCCUGGGGAUCUUCAUGCUGAAGAUGCUAUGCAGGUCCCAUCAAGCAACUUUCCUGAACUCCACAGCACAACCUGUUUAAAACCACAACUAGAAAAUGGAUCACCUUUCGUUUUCUCAUCUGUUGUCUUACUUCUCUCUGAGGAUCUUAUACAGUAGUAAUUUAGUGGAAUUGUCUGGGGCAUAUCCAAUGUAUUCGCAGAGUCAAUUGUGCCUACUACUCAGGUCUUCACCAGCCCUUCUUUAACAGGACAUAAAACUGGGAGAUUUAGUGAUGCAUGUGGCCCUGUCCAAGGACUACGCCAGGCUCAAGGACUUCCACAGCUUUCUCACGACCACACACUGCCUCAACAAUUUGUAACACCAACACUGUGAAAGCCAUCCAGGAAAUGGAAGAACUAACAAGUUCUACAUCAAACUAACACCUUUUGGUUUCCAGAGUAGGGCCUGUGGAGGGGCUAGUCCUAGUACUGAGAUAGAGAUACAGGAAUACCUUCCAACUGAAAACAAGCCAUGACAAAAUGGACAGAAUUGAAAAGGCACUACAACUUCUAAUGAACAAAAAUAUUAAGCAGCCAUUGGCCAGUCAACUGGCAAAUUGUCCAGGGGCACCCUGCACACUAAAGCUAUCGGGUCAGCAGCCAUCCUGUGAGCAUUAUCAGAUACUCCACCAUCCUGAGGAACCACAGAAUGAAGACAAGGCAACUAAUGGGGGAGAACAACAAGAAACAGCUGUCAGAUUACUCCCAUCAAGGGAACUGAAUCAGCUUCAGGGACAUUUUGCACAAAACAGUGAUCAUUGUUGCAGGACUCAACUCUCCCAGCCUGUCUAGCCCUGAAUCCUAAACUCUAAAAUCUACAAGUCGAGCCCAACGAUACAGUCUGUGUCCAAGGAGAAGUC
Molecule: long non-coding RNA, 1210 nt
Organism: Mastomys coucha (southern multimammate mouse)
Lineage: Eukaryota; Metazoa; Chordata; Mammalia; Rodentia; Muridae
Exons: 3
Source: RefSeq, a predicted model, not a curated record